This 440-nucleotide ribosomal RNA is filed under the name uncultured bacterium. RNAcentral's name for it is "partial 16S ribosomal RNA". It matches the Rfam family "Bacterial small subunit ribosomal RNA", at positions 338 to 795 of the family's 1533-position model. The record is from RNAcentral.
CCUACGGGUGGCAGCAGUGGGGGAUAUUGCACAAUGGGGGAAACCCUGAUGCAGCGACGCCGCGUGAGUGAAGAAGUAUUUCGGUAUGUAAAGCUCUAUCAGCAGGGAAGAAAAUGACAGUACCUGACCAAGAAGCCCCGGCUAACUACGUGCCAGCUGCGGCGGUAAUGCGUAGGGGGCAAGCGUUAUCCGGAUUUACUGGGUGUAAAGGGAGCGUAGAGGGUUAUGUAAUUCUGGAGUGAAAGCCCGGGGCCCAACGCCGGGACUGCUUUGGAAACUGGGUAGCUGGAGUACAAGAGGAGCAGGCGGAAUGCCUGGUGUAGCGGUGAAAUGCGUAGAUAUCAGGAGGAACGCCGACGGCGAAGGCGGCCUGCUGGCCUGAAACUGACGUUGAGGCUCGAAAGCGUGGGGAGCAAACAGGAUUAGAUACCCCGGUAGUC